CCCGCUGAGUUUAAGCAUAUCAAUAAGCGGAGGAAAAGAAACUAACAAGGAUUCCCUUAGUAACGGCGAGCGCACCGGGAAGACCACAACUUGAAAAUCGGACGUCUUUGGCGUUCGAAUUGUAGUCUGGAGAAGUGUCCUCAGCGACGGACCGGGCCCAAAUUCCCUGGAAAGGGGCGCCAGAGAGAGUGAGAGCCCCGUCGUGCCCGGACCCUGUCGCACCACGAGGUGCUGUUUACGAGUCGGGUUGUUUGGGAAAGCAGCCCCAAUCGGGUGGUAAAUUCCAUCCAGGGCUAAAUAUGGGCGAGAGACCAAUAGCGAACAAGUACCGCGAGGUAAAGAUGAAAAAAUCUUUGAAAAGAGAGUCAAAGAGUGCUUGAAAUUAUCGGGAUAGAAGCGGAUGGGGGCCAGCGAUUUCAUCCCGGUCGGAUGCGGAACGGAGCAAUCCGGUCCGCUGAUCGAUUCGGGCCAUGGACCGAUGCGGAUUAAGGUGGUGACCUAAGCCCGGGCUUUUGUUACGCCCGCGGAGACAUCGCUGCCUUAAUCGUAGUCUGCAGCACCCGCCUCACGGCAUGCCUCGGCAUCUGCAUGCUCAGGGCGUCGGCCUGUGGGCUCCCCAUUCGACCCGUCUUGAAACACGG
RNAcentral lists this non-coding RNA (641 nucleotides) under Brassica napus (rape). Its description in RNAcentral is "rRNA LSU_rRNA_eukarya". It matches the Rfam family "Eukaryotic large subunit ribosomal RNA", at positions 24 to 664 of the family's 3401-position model. Lineage: Eukaryota; Viridiplantae; Streptophyta; Magnoliopsida; Brassicales; Brassicaceae. The record is from Rfam by way of RNAcentral.